Molecule: microRNA precursor, 79 nt
Filed under: Tribolium castaneum (red flour beetle)
Lineage: Eukaryota; Metazoa; Arthropoda; Insecta; Coleoptera; Tenebrionidae
Description: microRNA tca-mir-34 precursor
Gene: tca-mir-34
Rfam family: mir-34 microRNA precursor family (bases 5-73)
About the family: Human mir-34a was discovered computationally and later experimentally verified. The mature sequence is excised from the 5' arm of the hairpin.
Source: miRBase by way of RNAcentral
AUGUACACGGUGGCAGUGUGGUUAGCUGGUUGUGUUUUUUUGAUCACGACCACUAUCCAUACUCCCUCCAUGAAUAUCG